CACGUAGGGCGCAAGCGUUGUCCGGAAUUAUUGGGCGUAAAGAGCUCGUAGGCGGUCUGUCGCGUCUGCUGUGAAAACUCGGGGCUUAACCCCGGGCCUGCAGUGGGUACGGGCAGACUAGAGUGCGGUAGGGGAGACUGGAAUUCCUGGUGUAGCGGUGAAAUGCGCAGAUAUCAGGAGGAACACCGGUGGCGAAGGCGGGUCUCUGGGCCGAUACUGACGCUGAGGAGCGAAAGCGUGGGGAGCGAACAGG
This 253-nucleotide ribosomal RNA is filed under the name uncultured bacterium. Its description in RNAcentral is "partial 16S ribosomal RNA". It matches the Rfam family "Bacterial small subunit ribosomal RNA", at positions 524 to 776 of the family's 1533-position model. The record is from RNAcentral.